RNAcentral lists this long non-coding RNA (379 nucleotides) under Setaria viridis. Its description in RNAcentral is "long non-coding RNA (SVIR_LNC004130)". Lineage: Eukaryota; Viridiplantae; Streptophyta; Magnoliopsida; Poales; Poaceae. The record is from RNAcentral.
UAUCUAAUAAUAAUACUAUAGAUAAUACCUGUGCGCCUAACUUGCUGGUGCUACUGCCUUCUUGCACCGACGUUCGUAGACACGACCCCACAUAACAUCUCUCCCUCCCUAGAGCAGCAGCUCAUCCUCAAGCUGAAAGGAAGGGAAGCGCUUCUGGAACUUGUCGAGAUCCUCCCAUGAUGCCACCGAGUCAGGCUGGCCUACCCACUUGAUCAAUAGCUGGCGCACAUCACGGUAGAGCCGAGCCUUGAGUGCACGUUCAGGUACCGGCAGAACCGCUUCGAAGUGCAAAGGAGACUGCAGCGGCAGAGCUUAGGGUGGUUCACCGAUGGACUUUUUCAGCAAGCCAGCAUGGAACACGUCAUGGAUGCGAGCCGUU